RNAcentral lists this long non-coding RNA (6375 nucleotides) under Homo sapiens (human). RNAcentral's name for it is "non-protein coding LINC01708:18". Lineage: Eukaryota; Metazoa; Chordata; Mammalia; Primates; Hominidae. The record is from RNAcentral.
AUUCUGCAGAUAUAACUUGAUGACCCUGGAUGCAAAGGUUCACUUUAGAAUAUUCAAGAAGAUAUCCAGGCAUUAGCCUGAGCUGGAAACUUGGGUCUCCCACAGAAAGAACUAUCUUCCCGGUUUUCUCUGGAAAUGAGUGGAGGGAAUGAAAAGAGUUAACAGAGAUAUGGCAUGAACAUGUAUUAGAAAAAUGAUUCACACACAAUAGAAAAAAUAAGUAAGACCAGGAUUGGGUGGCUUUGGAGAAUGUAAUUUCAGCUUGAAUAUGAAGAUGCUUGUAGAACAGUGUUCCUUCCUCUGAACAUGGCUACAGAAGAACAAAUCAGUUAGUCUGAAGGAAUAGCAUCCAGCUGUGGCAAGAGAGAACAUUAACUGUAACUUGAAGACUGAGUCCAAGAUGGAGUCACGCUCUGUGGCUCAAACUGGAGUGCAAUGGUGUGAUCUUGGCUCACUGCAACCUCCGCCUUCUGGGUUCAAGUGAUUCUCUUCCCUCAGCCUCCCGAGUAGCUGGUAUUUCAGGUUUUCUAAUGUAAAUCAAUGGCAUUGAAGUCCAAAAUUAAUGGCUUCCCUGUAUUCAUCCCCUUUGCAAAGUGACCUUGCAUAUUCUUCCAUCAAGAGGUUGUCAUACUUUGUCUAAAACAAAAGGAUUAUACUGCCCAGCAUUCUUCACUGUCAGGAUGGCCAAUGGGAUGAAAUGAGAAUUUACUUGGUGAGAUUCCUAAAAAUGGAAUUUAAAAGAGGAAGGAACUCAGCUUGCAUAUGCCUUUCACCCUUCAGUGUUCACCUCUUCCCUGCUCUAGGACACGAACACAAUGCAGGUUGUAAAGCAGCCAUGUUAUGAGAAUGAGCUAACAAGCAAAAGCAAACAUGAGGACAAUGAAAUAGAAGACUGGAAUGAGCCUCGUUCCCCAAUGGCAUCGUAGAGUUGCUAAAUUAGCCCUAGAUUUCCUGAUCAGAACCUCUUGUUAUGUAUGCAAAAGAUACCCAAAUUUGUUUAAGCCACUGUUACAUUUUUUGGGAGGUGAGGGGUAGUUUCUGUUAUUCAUAGCUGAAUGCAUCCUUCAACCAAUAUAAAGUUUUUGGAUAUCACUGUCUACCAAAUGUUUUCAUGGACCAUCAGUGGUGACUCUUGCAUUUUUAGGUGUCUAGGUGAUUGCCCACAUUACAAGCCCUGGUUUACCAACCAAUAAAAUGUGUGGCGGUUCAACCUCAUAAUUCAGUCCUGUCACGCCUUAUAGACCUUUUCCCCAUCAAUUUUAUGUAUCUCAUCCUAAAUUAACUUGAAGACACAGGUGUAAGAUAAAUAUGAGGGGCUGGCGAAAUCUCUUCUUGUAGAGUGUGGAAAAACUUCUCCUAAGGAAUGCUCAGUAUAUUGACGGAUGCUCAGUGGUGCCCCAGGGAUACACAGAGUUGAAGUUUCUGAUGUCAUUCACCUCAAAACCAGCUUUCUGCCACUGCUUUAGUGGCAUCUGUGUGUCAUUUAAAUGUAGAAUUGCGGCUUUUUCACACCUGCUUUUCCCAUUUUCAAGAAGUCUUGGUUAUAAAACUAGAGAAUCAGCUGGCCCUUCCAUAUGUAAGUGAAAGUUUUCAUCUUUUACUAAUUAGAAGAUAACCUAGAUUCAUUACUUUUUUAUUCAUCUUUCUUUUUAGUUAUUAAAAAUUGAUCUUUUUAUUUAUAGCUGCAUGAAAAAUUCUUUUGCAGUUUCUUCAAAGGUUUUCUCUCCCCCAUUUCUUUAUCUUUCUUUCAUUCCUAAAAUGUAACUUGAGAUGUGCACGUGGAAAAAUCUGUUUGGUUGGAAAUAAAAUGUGGAAGGGAAAAACCAGCUAUCAAUGGCACAGCCAUAUUUUAUAUUUGGACUCUACCAAGCCAUCAUAGAUCAGGAAUAUACCACUUCAUUUAAAUUGGCUUUUUGUCUACAGGUACCAUACUUAAGUAUCCAUCACCUCUGGAGAGGUUGUCAGAAAUGAGGCUGCAUCAUAAAUUGUCCUAAUGGCUCUUAGGUCCUGUGCCUCAGUGUGCUAGCCAGCCUUGGCCCCUUUGAUUUCUGUGUCAGAGUAGCAUCCCUUAGGCAUUUCUUAUUACUUGCAGGGCUGAAGUCAGCACUUUCCUAGAGUGGGGAGCUCAGGCUUCUUUCCUGGGAGUUGCAUGAAAAACUUAAAUAGUUAUGGCUGAGAAUUUGUGCAUGCUACAUUUCUCCAGGUCAGCUGAAAAUUAGCAAUGAGCCCUGAAAUUUCUCUUCAGACUAAUCAGUAAGGUAUUUUUUUUCCAGAGCUGAAUGCAUAUGUACACUAUGAAUGUCUGACUUAUCCUAUCCUAUUUAUUCAUGGGUGUCUAUUUAAGAAGUAUGUUUUAGUAGAAAUGUCAUGGUUUUGGAGACAAAAGACUCUGAGCCCUGCCAGUACUUGACAAAUGUAACUUCAAACAAGUAGCCUAAGUUCCAGGAGCCUGUUCUUCGUCUGUGGAUGGAGUUAACAAGGCCUGUCCUAUCUUACCUCAUAUGAUUGUUGUGAGGCUUCACAGUGAGGCAAUGUGUGGGGGUGAUUUGUACACUAUAAAGCACUGUAAACACGUAUUUAUAAGAUCUCUCCACUGUACCAGAUCUUAUCACUUCUCUUCAUAGGCAUGGCUCAUGGAUUGGAAGUAACUUUACUUCCAUGCCAAGUCCCUGUAAAUACUAUCCAUCCCUACCAAGGUAAAUCUCAACCCAAACUUGACCGCUUUGCUAGGUUCAAACCCAGACUUCUUUGUUCACUAAUUAUGGAAUCUUGUAUUAUUUACUCAACCUUACCAUGACUGUCACAUAAUCUAGAGCUGGGAUAUUGAUUGUACCCACACUUAAGGCUGAUUUAAGGAUUACAUGAGAUGAGCUCUAUAAAGUAGUUAUUAUGGUGCCUGAUAUACAGUAAAUAAUGAAUGGUAGGUAUUAUUAAUGUAUUAGUGUAGGUACAAGUAGAUUAUGGGAUUCUAAGAAGAUGGUUGCUAACAUCUUUUUUCUUCUUUUUUAUUUUUUAAAAUUAAUUUUUUAUUUCAAUAGGUUUUUGGGGAACAAGUGGUGUUUGAUUACAUUAAUAAGUUCUUCAGUCAUGAUUUCUGAGAUUUUGGUGCACCAUCACCCAAGCAGUGUGCACUGUACCCAAUGUGUAGUCUUUUGUCCCUCAUCUGCCUCCCACCCUUUCCCCUGAGUUGCCAAAGUCCAUUGUAUCAUUCUUAUGUCUUUGCAUCCUCAUAACUUAGCUCCCACUUAUGAGUGUGAACAUAUGAUGUUUGUUUUUUCAUUCCUGAGUUACUUCACUUAGAAUAAUAGUCUCCAAUUCCAUCCAGGUUGCUGGAUGUCAAAAGCCAUUAUUUUUUUCCUUUUUGGGGCUGAGUCAUAUUUUAUGUUCCAUGGUGUGUGUGUGUGUGUGUGUGUGUGUGUAUAUAUAUAUAUAUAUAUGUAUAUAUGUGUGUGUGUGUGUAUACACACCACAUUUUCUUCAGACACUUGUUGAUUGAUGGGGAUUUGGGCUGGUUCCAUAUUUUUGCAAUUGCAAAUUAUGCUGCUAUAAACAUGCUUGUGCGAGUAUCUUUUUCAUGUAAUAAUGACUUCUUUUCCUCUGGGUAGUUACCUAGUAGUGGGAUUGCUGGAGCAAAUGGUAGAUCUACUUUUAGUUCUUUAAGGAAUGUCUGCAUUGUUUUCCAUAGUGGUUGUACUAGUUUACAUUUACACCAACAGUGUAAAAGUAUUCCCUUUUUGCCACAUCCAUGCUAACAUUUAUGAUUUUUUGAUUGUGGCCAUUCUUGCAGGAGUGAGGUGGCAUUGCAUUGUGGUUUUGAUUUGCAUUUCCCCACUAUCGGUUAGUGAUGUUGAGCAUUUUUCCAUAUGCUUGUUGACCAUUUGUAUAUCUUUUUUGACAAUUGUCUAUUCAUGUCCUUAGCCCACUUUUUGAUGGGAUUGUUUGUUUUUUCUUGCUGAUUUGAGUUCUUUGUAGAUUCUGGAUAUUAGUCCUUUGUCAGAUAUAUAGAUUGUGAUGAUUUUCUCCCACUCUGUGGGUUGUCUGUUAAUUCUGCUGAUUAUUUCUUUUGCUGUGCAGAUGGUUUUUAGUUUAAUUAAGUCCCAUGUGUUUAUCUUGGUUUUUGUUGCAUUUGCUUUUGGGUGUGUGGUCAUGAAGUCUUUGCCUAAGCCAAUUCUAGAAGGGUUUUCUGAUGUUGUCUUCUAGAAUUUUUAUGGUUUCAGGUCUUAGAUUUAAGUAUUUGAUCCAUCUUGAAUUGAUUUUUGUAUAAGGUGAGAGAUGAUGAUCCAGUUUCCUACGUGUGUGGCUUGCCAAUUAUCUCUGCACCAUUUGUUGUUUUCCCCACUGUAUGUUCUUGUUUGCUUUGUUGAAGAUCAGUUGGCUCUAUUUGGCUUUAUUUCAGGGUCUUCUAUUCUGUUCCAUUGGUCUAUGUGCCUGUUUUUAUACCAGUACCAUGCUGUUUUGGUGACUAUGGCCUUAUAGUAUAGUUUGAAGUUGGGUAAUGUGAUGCCUCCAGAUUUGUUCUUCUUGCUUAGUCUUGCUUUGGCUAUGUGGAUUCUUUUUUGGUUCCAUAUGAAUUUUAGGAUUUUUUUUCUGGUUCUGUGAAGAAUGAUGGCAGUAUUUUAAUGGGAAUUGCAUUGAAUUUGUAGAUUACUUUUGGCAGUAUGUUCAUUUUCACAAUAUUGAUUCUACCCAUCUAUGAAUAUGAGGUGUGUUUCCAUUUGUUUAUGUCGUCUAUGAUUCUUCCAGCAGUGUUUCAUAGUUUUCUUUGUAGAGCUCUUUCACCUCCUUAGUUAGGUACAUUCCUAAGUAUUUUGUUUUAUUUUUUGCAGCUAUUGUCAAAGCAGUUGAGUUUUUAUUUGAUCAUCAGCUUGGUCACUGUUAGUAUAUAGCAGAACUACAGAUUUGUGUACAUUAAUUUUGUAUCCUAAAACUUUGCUGAAUUCUUUUAUCAGUUCUAGGAGCUUUUUGGAGGAGCCUUUAGGGUUUUCUAGAUAUACAAUCAUAUCAUCAACAAACAGUAACAGUUUGACUUCUUCCUUACUGAUUUGGAUGCCCUUAAUUUCUUUCUCUUUUCUGAUUAGUCUGGGUAGGACUUCCAGUACUAUGUUGAAUAGAAGUGGUGAGAGUGGGCAUCCUUGUUUUGUUCCAGUUCUCAGGGAAUGCUUUCAACUUUUCCCUGUCAGUAUAAUGUUGGCUGUGGGUUUGUCACAGAUGGCUUUUAUUACCUUAAGGUAUGUCCCUAGUACAUACCAUGCUGAUUUUCCUGAGGGUUUUCAUCAUAAAGGGAUGCUAGAUUUUGUCAAAUGCUUUUUCUGCAUCUAUUGAGGUGAUCAUAUGAUUUUUGUUUUUAAUUCUGUUUACGUGAUGUAUCACAUUUAUUGACUUGUGUAUGUUAAACCAUCCCUGCAUCCCUGUUAUGAAAUCCACUUGAUCAUGGUGGAUUAUCUUUUUGAUAUACUGUUGGAUUUGGUUAGCUAGUAUUUUGUUUAGAAUUUUUAUAUUUAUGUUUAUUAGGGAUAUUGAUCUAUAGUUUUCUUUUUUGGUUAUGUCCUUCACUGGUUUUGGUAUUAAAGUGAUACUGGCUUCAUAGAAUGAUUUAAGGAGGAUUUCCUCUUUCUCUAUCCUGUGGAAUAGUGUCAAUAGUGUUGGUAGCAAUUCUUCUUUGAAUGUCUGAUAGAAUUCAGCUGUAAAUCUGUCUGGUCCUGGACUUUUUUUUGGUGACAAUUUUUAAAUUACUGUUUCAAUCUCACUGCUUGUUAUUGGUCUAUUCAGAGUUUCUCUAUCUUCAUGGCUUAAUCUAGGAGGUUUGUAUAUUUCCAGGAAUUUAUUGACCUUCCCUAGGUUUUCUAAUUUAUGUGCAUAAAGUUGUUCAUAUUGGCCUUGAAUAAUCUCCUGUAUUUCUGUGGUAUGAGUAAUAAUAUCUCCCAUUUUGUUUCUAAUUGAGCUUAUUUGGAUCUUCUCUCAUCUUGGUUUAUCUUGCUAAUGGUCUACCAGUUUUAUUUAUCUUUUCAAAGAACCAGCAUUUUGUUCAUCUUUUGUAUUUUUUUUGUUUCAAUUUCAUUUAGUUCUGCUCUGAUCUUUGUUAUUUCUUUUCUUCUGCUGAGUUUGGGUUUGGAUUGUUCUAGUUCCUCCAGUUCCAUGAGGUGUGACCUUAGAUUGUUUAUUUGUGCUCUUUCAGAAUUUUUGAUGUAGUGAUUUAACGCUAUGAACUUUCGUCUUAGCACCAUUUUCACUGUAUCCCAGAGGUUUUUAUAGGUUGUGUCACUAUUAUUGUUCAGUUUAAAUAAUUUUUAAUUUCCAUCUUGACUUCAUUAUUGACCCAACAAUCAUUCAAGAGCAGAUUAUUUAAUUUUCAUGUAUUUGCAUGGUUUUGAGGGA